This is a long non-coding RNA of Nyctereutes procyonoides (raccoon dog), 1581 nucleotides long. RefSeq lists it as uncharacterized. The record is from RefSeq and is a predicted model, not a curated record. Lineage: Eukaryota; Metazoa; Chordata; Mammalia; Carnivora; Canidae. The transcript has 4 exons.
UCAUAGGGUAUUUGUCUUGCUGCGACCUGCUCAUUUCAUGUGGCAGCGGGUCCAGAACUCACUUCUUCCUUAGGAUCGAUGUUCGUUCCACUGGAGCUGGAUGUCCCAUGAUCUUUCUCCAUUCCUCUGUGCAUGGACACGGGGGCUGCUUCUACAUCUUGACUCUUGUGAACAACACUGCGAUGAACAGGGAUGAGCUGGGAUCCCUUCAUACUGUUGGCUUUCAGUUCUUACAGAUGUAAAAUGAGUAAGAAGAUGGCUCCAUCACAUGAAGCAACAAGUGAACAUCAUCAACAGAAAGAAGGCAGCUGAUGGUCCGUUGUCAGCAUGACUCUUUGGUCCAGAUGAUGCUUCCAGUCUCUUGGGGUAUGACCCCUGCCAGUGGGGUCGCAGAAACCUAGACUGAAUUCCACUCAUCAGAAGGAACGUUGUACACUAGGACCCCCAGAGUCAGUAUCUUCAAGCUCCACAAGGAAAGGAAACAAAAGAUCCUCGGGACAAAAUAGGGAGCACAUGUAAGCAGGAGUGCCACAGAGCCAGGAUAGUUGGAUGUGAACAUAUGAAGAAAGACUCAGAAUCUCACUGAAUUUUCAUCCGAGACCUGGACUCAGACCCUGAGGCUGCGGCAGGAGGCGCGGGAGCAGCAGCAGCGGCAGGUGGAGGAAGAAGCCCGGCAGGCCAGAAAGGCCCAGGCCUGGGCGCAGCUCAAGGAGCAGGAAGUGCUGCAGCUGCAGGAGGAAGCAAAAAAUUUCAUUACCCGAGAGAACCUGGAGGCACGGGUGGAAGAAGCAUUGGACUCGCCACCGAAGAGCUACAAUUGGGCCAUCACCAGGGAAGGGCUGGUGGUCAGACCACAGCAUAGGGCUCGUAAGGGUCCAGUAAGGACAGUGCCCACCCAGGGACCAUGUGUGUAUGGGGUAGGAGGGUUGGGCCUGAUCUGGAAUAGAUCUGUUGAUGCUGCUUAGGAAGAAGGAGGCUCAGCCUAUUCCAGUGUCCUCCUCACAUUCUUCCCUGCACCCACCACCUGGUUGGCAGUUCCCAUACAUACUGUCCUGUUCUACACCCAUGUACGAAGCAGCAAAGCAGCAGACCUUAGAGGUUUCCAGCUCACAGUGGCGCAGAAUGGACCACAUUCCCCUCGAUCAACUAGGUCAUUUACUAAGUGUCAUCAAGGACAUGGACAGAGGUUGGCAAAUUACAGUCCUUUGGCCCAAUCUGUCCUACUGCCUGUUUUUGUAAAUAAAUUUUAUUGGAACACACACACACACACAAAAAUGGACUCAGACCCAUUGCUUUGUCACUUCCAGCUUUAUUAAGAGAGCUAGCAGAUUGGCUAUAGGAAUGAUUAACUUUGGGAAGCAGAGAAAAACACUUUAACUUCAAAGGGUAAAAGACUAGGCUAUUGACUCAAGGAGGGGGAGUGGAGGAGCUGUAUCUGGAGAACAAUGUAGUCAAGAGUCAGUGUGCCAACUCAGGUCUUCACGUAUCCCCAGGGUGCCCAGGACUAGAGAAGCUCCGCAGCUGGUUCCCCAUGCAGGGCGAAGGGCAGAGGGAGACAGGGAGAGAAUCUCAAGCAGACUC